UGUUAAUGGUAUCAUCAUUCUGUAAAAAGUUAAUCAAAAUCGGUGUUUUUUAAUUGGGUAAUUUUUGUAGACCGUGGGGCCUCUCAAAAUGCGGGGCUGGAUUCCAGCAAAUGCGCUGAACCUGCCUUGCACUGGCCCUGUUUCAACAUAUACUUUUUUAUAGUAUAUGCUUUCCUCAUUAUGUCACCAUAAUUUGUUUUACAAAAUCAAUUCAAAAUUUGAACAAAUUGAAAAUUCAUACAACAAAAAUCAUUUAUAUUAUUUUCACAUUAUUAUUUAUUAUUUGUUUCAUAUUCGAAUGUUUAAUCCUGGAGAAAGUUUUUGUUAUGGAAGAUGAUUAUAUGAGUAAAUAUCUUUUUCCAAAGAGGGACUAUUCCAUUAAUAUUGAAUAUUUAUUUGACUUCAUUAAUUAUUUUUUGAAGUUUAAUUGAAAAUGGUAUAACUUCUGCAGAAAUCUGCAUUUGCUUUUUUCAGUAACUAUAACUUUGGUACUUCAGUAACUCAGAAUCUUACAAGGAGACCCCGCGAGUUGGUGGGCGCGGAUAUGAGUGGGGCUUGUGUGGUUCGUGGAGAGGGCAGAUCGG
RNAcentral lists this long non-coding RNA (584 nucleotides) under Androctonus crassicauda. Lineage: Eukaryota; Metazoa; Arthropoda; Arachnida; Scorpiones; Buthidae. The record is from RNAcentral.